Molecule: long non-coding RNA, 1096 nt
Filed under: Bos grunniens (domestic yak)
Lineage: Eukaryota; Metazoa; Chordata; Mammalia; Artiodactyla; Bovidae
Description: lncRNA (ENSBGRG00000014864.1)
Source: RNAcentral
UGCGGCUCACUUGUGGUCCUUCAAAGUGUCUAUCUCGUAACUUUUCCAUUAUUGUUUCUAUUGCCAAGUACCUGAUUUCUAUAUGUUACCGAGUUAAAUCCUUGAAAAGAGAAUCCCUCUGGUUCACCUUGUUCCUGUUUGUGCAGAAAUUUGUUUUAUUUUUGGCUGUGCUGUGUCUCUGUUGCUGUGUGAGGGCUUUUUCUAGCUGCUGUGAUUGCGGGCUAGUCUUCACUGUGGUGUAUGACCUUCUCAUUGUGCUGGCUUCUCUUGUUGUGGAGCACAGGCUCUAGGCAUGUGGGCUCAGUAGUUGUGGCUUAUGGGCUCCAGGGUGCGGGCUCAGAGUUGGGGUGCACAGGCUUAGCUGCUCCAUGACAUGUGGGAUCUUCCCAGACCAGGAAUAGAACCCUUGUCCCCCGCAGUGGAUUCUCAACCACCAGACCACCAGGCAAGUCCCAGUGCAGAACUUUCAAUGUCAGGCCCUCUCCUAAGUGGCAACUCUAUGGAUUGGCCUAACUGCUUUCUAUUCAACUGGUAGCCCACAAAGAAGCUAGGACAAGUGUCAAGUGGAAUUUCUGAUGCCCCAGAACCAUUGUUUUGCUAUGACCAGCCAUAUGUGGAGUGUGUCUUUUGUGCAGUGCUUGACCCAGCCUGGUUAUACUGAUGGAUUUUCACUGCCUUGUGCAUCUUGUGACCAAUAGCCUGAGAAUGCAAAAUGCUGGGGUUAGGAGUGGGUGGGUGGCACUAUGACUGGGUGUUUCUCUGUGUAAGACUGUGAAAAAUGCAGCCAAGAAAACUGGAUGUUACUGCUUUCAUUUUGUUUCAGGAUAGGCCUGCCUGGAUGAUCAAAACAGAUGGAAAAGAGGCAUAUGGGGCAAUAAUCCUGUUCCUUCGCCUCCUGCUUUCUAGUCAACUGGAAACUUCACAAGGGAAAAGAAAAAAAAAAAAUGCUGCUAGACCUUCAACUGUAAGUUUCAUGGGUCUAUUUAUUUUAAAACUGACGUUUCAAGUAUGGCUGUAUUGCUUAGUAUAUUAUUUCAGCAUAUCUGUAUCUAUGUUACUAGAUAAUGCAACUGUCUUUGAUACUUUGUACAAGUAA